This 255-nucleotide ribosomal RNA is filed under the name uncultured bacterium. RNAcentral's name for it is "partial 16S ribosomal RNA". It matches the Rfam family "Bacterial small subunit ribosomal RNA", at positions 524 to 777 of the family's 1533-position model. The record is from RNAcentral.
UACGGGGGGGGGCAAGCGUUGUUCGGAAUUACUGGGCGUAAAGGGCUCGUAGGCGGCCAACUAAGUCAGACGUGAAAUCCCUCGGCUUAACCGGGGAACUGCGUCUGAUACUGGAUGGCUCGAGUUUGGGAGAGGGAUGCGGAAUUCCAGGUGUAGCGGUGAAAUGCGUAGAUAUUGGGAGGAACACCGGUGGCGAAGGCGGCCCUCUGGACCGGUACUGACGCUGAUGCGCGAAAGCGUGGGUAGCAAACGGGG